Molecule: long non-coding RNA, 671 nt
Organism: Syzygium oleosum
Lineage: Eukaryota; Viridiplantae; Streptophyta; Magnoliopsida; Myrtales; Myrtaceae
Exons: 2
Source: RefSeq, a predicted model, not a curated record
GGGAACGCAUAUGGUAGAUACCCGGGUUGAAGGAAUGGGUAGGGAUUCGUCCCUAAACUCGGCAGAAUGGAUCCGGAUCCGGAUCCGUGACCCGGAUUUAUCCAACCCGUUCCACCAUUCGGGUUGGUUUCGUGCGGUGGAUGAAUUGGUCCAUCCCCAUUGGGUUGAGUUCCAGACCCAGCUACAUUUUCCUCUCCGUGUGGGCCAUGUUGAUAAUUGGCCCACGCUUGUCCUAGUCCGAUGGUCCAUUGACCUUGGAUGGAAUGCCAGUGAGCUGGAUGCCACUGAAAUGGGCCGAGAAUCUGGACUGGAGUAGGUCCAAAUGGCCUGGAAAUCGGGACUGGAGCAAGUGCAAAUGUGGUUGAAUGCUGAACAGAAGACCGUCCAUCACCAAUUGGAUUAAUUUGAUCCGAUAAUGCUGGAGUUUGAAUUUUAGGAUUGCAACAACAAAAAGAGAGAACACCGGAGGCAAUUCCAGAACUGCGGAAGCUAGGCCAGGAAGGAUGGUUCUGAUACCAUGAUAGAAAUUGAAGGGAAUUGGAGAAUUUCUGAUUGUAUUGUAUUGAUUUUUAUGUAUACAUGUACAUAGUCUAUUUAUAGUGUACAAAUGAAACAAAAAGAGGAAACAAUAUACAAGAGAUCAUAAUCAAAUUAAUCAAGGAUCGAUUAAA